Molecule: ribosomal RNA, 23 nt
Filed under: Polydrusus inustus
Lineage: Eukaryota; Metazoa; Arthropoda; Insecta; Coleoptera; Curculionidae
Description: partial 28S ribosomal RNA
Source: RNAcentral
CAAUUUAUCGACCUCAGAGCAGG